CCCUUAGAUGUUCUGGGCCGCACGCGCGCUACACUGAUGCAUUCAACGAGCCUAGCCUUGACCGAGAGGUCCGGGUAAUCUUUGAAACUGCAUCGUGAUGGGGCUAGAUUAUUGCAAUUAUUAAUCUUCAACGAGGAAUGCCUAGUAAGCGUGAUUCAUCAAAUCGCGUUGAUUACGUCCCUGCCCUUUGUAUACACCGCCCGUCGCUCCUACCGAUUGAGUGUGUUGGUGAGGAGUUCGGAUUGGCAGCAGGUGGUGGUUCGCCACCGCCUAUUGCUGAGAAGUUCUCCAAACCGCCCCACUUAGAGGAAGGAGAAGUCGUAACA
Molecule: ribosomal RNA, 326 nt
Filed under: uncultured eukaryote
Lineage: Eukaryota
Description: partial 18S ribosomal RNA
Rfam family: Eukaryotic small subunit ribosomal RNA
Source: RNAcentral